CCCCUGGUGGCUCACACAGUAAAGUGUCUGCCUACAAUGCAGGAGACCCAGGUUCAAUCCCUGGGUUGGGAA
This 72-nucleotide transfer RNA is filed under the name Ovis aries (sheep). It matches the Rfam family "tRNA". From Rfam's summary of the family: Transfer RNA (tRNA) molecules are approximately 80 nucleotides in length. Lineage: Eukaryota; Metazoa; Chordata; Mammalia; Artiodactyla; Bovidae. The record is from Rfam by way of RNAcentral.